RNAcentral lists this ribosomal RNA (674 nucleotides) under uncultured bacterium. RNAcentral's name for it is "bacterial SSU rRNA". It matches the Rfam family "Bacterial small subunit ribosomal RNA", at positions 826 to 1502 of the family's 1533-position model. The record is from RNAcentral.
GGGGUAUCGACCCCCUCUGUGCCGGAGUUACACAAUAAGUAUCCCACCUGGGGAGUACGGUCGCAAGAUUGAAACUCAAAGGAAUUGACGGGGGCCCGCACAAGCAGUGGAGUAUGUGGUUUAAUUCGAAGCAACGCGAAGAACCUUACCAGGGCUUGACAUCCCUUGACGCACCUGGAGACAGGUAUUCCCUACGGGGCAAGGAGACAGGUGGUGCAUGGUUGUCGUCAGCUCGUGUCGUGAGAUGUUGGGUUAAGUCCCGCAACGAGCGCAACCCCUGUUGUUAGUUGCCAGCAUUUCGGAUGGGCACUCUAGCAAGACUGCCGGUGACAAAUCGGAGGAAGGUGGGGACGACGUCAAAUCAUCAUGCCCCUUAUGUCCUGGGCUACACACGUACUACAAUGGCUACUACAACAGGCAGCUAACCCGCGAGGGGGAGCAAAUCCCAAAAGGUAGCCCCAGUUCAGAUUGCAGGCUGAAACCCGCCUGCAUGAAGUCGGAAUUGCUAGUAAUGGCAGGUCAGCAUACUGCCGUGAAUACGUUCCCGGGCCUUGUACACACCGCCCGUCACACCAUGAGAGUUGACAACACCCGAAGUCAGUAGUUUAACCUAUUAGGAGAGCGCUGCCGAAGGUGGGGUUGAUGAUUGGGGUGAAGUCGUAACAAGGUAGCCG